Non-coding RNA from Phalacrocorax carbo (great cormorant), 339 nucleotides. The record is from RefSeq and is a predicted model, not a curated record. NCBI's taxonomy places the organism in Eukaryota, Metazoa, Chordata, Aves, Suliformes, Phalacrocoracidae.
UAAUGAUUAAACUCCAGGAAUGCCAAAAAGAAGGCUAGCGCCUCGCGCGCCCUCUCCGUCUUUUCUGGUCGGGUCUCAUUGUCCUUCCCGGUUUCUCUCCCGCUUUUAAGAGGCGUUGGAAAGACUGAUUUUUGGAGGCGAUGGGAGGUCCCAGCCCCGACCGGAGCUGCGGUUCCCCAGAGCAUCGGGGAAAUCAGCCCGUGGCUCCAGAAGCAAUUAGAGCGAUCCUGGAAGCGGACCGGGGGAUGCAGGGUGGGAAAGCACCUCUUCGGAUGAAGUGGAAAACCUGGGGGUGGUUUCCAUGGCAGCACCUUGCCCUAAUAACACGUGUUUAUGAUC